RNAcentral lists this long non-coding RNA (147 nucleotides) under Neodiprion pinetum (white pine sawfly). Its description in RNAcentral is "uncharacterized LOC124223358". Lineage: Eukaryota; Metazoa; Arthropoda; Insecta; Hymenoptera; Diprionidae. The record is from RNAcentral.
AAAUUUUUUUUCUUAGAUUUUUUUUUUCUAGAACCUUCUUCUUUUGAAUCGGAUUUUGUGUCGGAUAGGCUUUGGUUUAUUAAUGUGAAAAGAGCCACGAUUAUUUUCGAGGUCGAUGAGCGAUUGCUUGAUUUUCACAUUUUAUUA